CUCAAUUGCACGGCGAGUGCGCUCGUAGUUUGACGGAGAAUAUGAUUUAGUACAGUACUUUUUACAGAAAGAUCGUGUGUAAUGAAUUUACAGGCUUAAUACGGGAAGUAAACUACCGAGUCACCCCGGAAUCAUUUUGCCGGCCAUUCCAUGUCCUGUCAAGUAUUGCCGGAGCCAAUUUGGGCUCGAAUUUUUUCGUAUUUGGAUAUAUUUGAUAUUUCAGCUUGUGCGGUCGUGUCCAAAAGAUGGAACGAAACUUGUGAUUCGCUGGCUGUGCAGAGAACCGUCAUCGUGGACCUGCAGAAAUGGGCAAAACAUUAUAAUCUCGAGGACCCUGAAAUAUCGAAAAACGGCGCCCGUGCUGUAGGGUUGUUGGAGAAGCGACUGACGCACGCGACUAAGAGGUUAAUUCUGCGUUGGCCAACGAAUCACAUUCAACCAAAACCUGUAAUGGUCCUCCCCGUUACUGUAACAACUGAAACCGUGUACGAGCACUGCAUUUAUGACGAUCCAGUAGUAAAUGCGGCGCGAUGCCAUCUGGACUGUAUAAUUCGUCAUGUCUCGGAUAUUUUGAGGGAAAGCGAUGCAUCUUUACCAAAAGUUGCAUUGGAAGAAUUGACCCUGCAAAAUAUCACCUUGUACGCCAAUAUGCUAUGGUUGGACAUGCCGCGAUUAACCGCAGUCCACUUGGAACAUGUACAAUUAUACUGCCAUUUCGCUCCACUUUGGCCCGCGGAGCCUUUGCCGUUGGUUCUUGGUGUGAGAGUUCCGAAACAAACCAUCAGCAAAAACAACCUGUACUGAAUUAAAGAAUUAAUAUGAUUAGUUGUGAGAUAGGUGUUAAUUAAAGAAAGUUACCCAAUCCAGUAGUGCCUGUAUUUGCGAUGGUAUUCCGUUGGCUGAUCCAAACGCAUCUUUCCCUCAAUAGUGCGUAACUCAGAUUCGGACAAUGGGCCCGGAAUCAAAAGGUUAAACAAAUCGAUAGCUGGAUCGAUUCUGAUAGCGUUUGCUGUGUGGAACGGUUCAGUCGACGGUGUCUGUGGGCGUUCACCACACCCAAGCAUCCACUUAAUUCAUGUUGGUUUUUCACAAGCACAUUUUUAUUCGGAAGCAGCCAGUAGCCAUAGUAGCACGCCGGCGCGGAUGUAACGCUCUAUUUCGGUGUCUCAAAAAACUCCGAAUUAUUCUCCUCGCUAUUCGAUCGAAAGGGAUUUUAUGAGGCAGGAAUUACGUUCGGGAAGAUCGAACGCUCUCCACUUUGGCUGCAGUAUAUCGCUCGAGAGCUCCUGGCGACCUAUCCAGACGAAGGCGCGCUGUCUGGCGCUCAAGACGAUGCUCGUGUCAGUGCAGUCGAAAGAAUAACGGAGCCGUUUUUGUUAGAGGAGAGCACAUAUUGGGACGGUAUUGGUUAUACCGUGACACGCCGAAAUUUAACCGCAACAAUUUAAGGCAAUCAGAAGCUGCAGGAAAAACCUGGCUACCAUUGAUUCGCAACUUUGGCCUCGAUCGUGUAUUCUCUCCAUUCAUUUCAGAAUGGAAUCAAGAGGAUUGGUCAUAGCCGGCAGUAAAAGGCCAGACGUUGUUAUGCUUAUCCCAUGAGAGCGUGGAAAGCCAUUCGCAAUUGACGUGACGCGUGUGGACACUCUGGCAGAUUUAUAUAUUGACCGUAACAUCCGUCAACGGCGGUGCCGCAUCCUAGAUGGCCGAAACAAAGAAACUCGCAAAACAUGCGUGGCUGCAGUCAAGGUAUAUGCCAGCGGCCUUCGAAAUGUGCGGACCUUUGGGCGGCAGAGCUAAAAAGCCAGUCCUUAAAUUCGGACACCUCAUCGCGGCCGCUACCGGGCAACCACGCGCGAAAGAAUUUUUCCGGCAAAGGAUUUCCAUACAGAUUCAAAGAGGAAAUGCCAUGAGCGUGAUGGGCACAAUACCCCAUCAUGACAAUUUAGAGGAAAUAUUCUUUUUAUAACCUCCUAAAACUGCGUUUUUGUUAUAGUGUUUACUGUUUAGCAUCCAUGGCGUGUACCCAUUCUUACUGAUGCGUCUAUCAGUUCUGGUAUAACUCUGGUAUGUACAGGAGA
RNA transcript from Paramacrobiotus metropolitanus, 2078 nucleotides. RefSeq lists it as uncharacterized. The transcript is spliced from 4 exons. NCBI's taxonomy places the organism in Eukaryota, Metazoa, Tardigrada, Eutardigrada, Parachela, Macrobiotidae. The record is from RefSeq and is a predicted model, not a curated record.